GGUUUGAUCUGGCUCAGAUUGAACGCUGGCGGGAUGCUUUACACAUGCAAGUCGAACGGCAAUGACUUCGGUCUGGUGGCGAGUGGCGAACGGGUGAGUAAUGUAUCGGAACGCCUAGUAGCGGGGGAUAAUCUACGCGAAAGUUGCAUAAUAAUGCAUACGCCCUUCGGGGGAAAGCGGGGGGACCUUCGCCUCGCACUAUUAGAGCGGCCGAUAUCGGAUUAGCUAGUUGGUGGGGUAACGGCUCACCAAGGCGACGAUCCGUAGCUGGUUUGAGAGGACGACCAGCCACACUGGGACUGAGACACGGCCCAGACUCCUACGGGAGGCAGCAGGAAUUUGGACAAUGGGGGAAACCCUGAUCCAGCCACGGCGUGUGCGAUGAAGGCCUUCGGGUUGUAAAGCACUUUUGGCAGGAAAGAAAACGUAUCGGGAUAAUACCCCGCGUGCAACUGACGGUACCUGCAGAAUAAGCACCGGCUAACUACGUGCCAGCAGCCGCGGUAAUACGUAGGGUGCAAGCGUUAAUCGGAAUUACUGGGCGUAAAGCGUGCGCAGGCGGUUCGGAAAGAAAGAUGUGAAAUCCCAGAGCUUAACUUUGGAACUGCAUUUUUAACUACCGUAGAGCUAGAGUGUGUCAGAGGGAGGUGGAAUUCCGCGUAGCAGUGAAAUGCGUAGAUAUGCGGAGUGAACACCGAUGGCGAAGGCAGCCUCCUGGGAUAACACUGACGCUCAUGCACGAAAGCGUGGGGAGCAAACAGGAUUAGAUACCCUGGUAGUCCACGCCCCAAACGAUGUCAACUAGCUGUUGGGGCCUUCGGGCCUUGUAGCGCAGCUAACGCGUGAAGUUAACGCACUGGGGAGUACGGUCGCAAGAUUAAAACUCAAAGGAAUUGACGGGGACCUGCACAAGCGGUGGAUGAUGUGGAUUAAUCUGAUGCAAAUCGCGAAAACCUUACCUACCCUUGACAUGUCUGGAAUCCCGAAGAGAUUUGGGAGUGCUCGCAAGAGAACCGGAGCACAGUGCUGCAUGGCUGCCGUCAGCUCGUGUCGAGAUGUUGGGUUAAGUCCCGCAACGAGCGCAACCCUUGUCAUUAGUUGCUGGAAAGGGCACUCUAAUGAGACUGCCGGUGACAAACCGGAGGAAGGUGGGGAUGACGUCAAGUCCUCAUGGCCCUUGGCGGGUGGGCUUCGGCACGUCAUACAAUGGUCGGGACAGAGUGGUCGCCAACCCGCGAGGGGGGAGCCAAUCCCAGAACCCGAUCGUAGUCCGGAUCGCAGUCUGCAACUCGACUGCGUGAAGUCGGAAUCGCUAGUAAUCGCGGAUCAGCAUGUCGCGGUGGCUGCCCGGGUCUUUGUACACACCGCCCGUCACACCAUGGGAGUGGGCUUUACCAGAAGUAGUUAGCCUAACCGUAAGGAGGGCGAUUACCACGGUAGGAUUCAUGACUGGGUGAAGUCGUAACAAGGUAGC
RNAcentral lists this ribosomal RNA (1474 nucleotides) under uncultured Bordetella sp. RNAcentral's name for it is "partial 16S-23S ribosomal RNA intergenic spacer". It matches the Rfam family "Bacterial small subunit ribosomal RNA". The record is from RNAcentral. Lineage: Bacteria; Pseudomonadati; Pseudomonadota; Betaproteobacteria; Burkholderiales; Alcaligenaceae.